GGUUCUCUAGGGAGCAUGUGCACGCCUUGUCAUCUUUAUAUCUCCACCUGUGUGCACCUUUUGUAGACCUUCCAGGUCUAUGUUGCUUCUUCAUUUACCCCAAUGUAUGUUAAUAGAAUGUUGUGACUAUAAAAUCUAUACAACUUUCAGCAACGGAUCUCUUGGCUCUCGCAUCGAUGAAGAACGCAGCGAAAUGCGAUAAGUAAUGUGAAUUGCAGAAUUCAGUGAAUCAUCGAAUCUUUGAACGCACCUUGCGCUCCUUGGUAUUCCGAGGAGCAUGCCUGUUUGAGUGCCAUUAAUAUAUAUCAACCCUUCUCAUUGCUGAGUGGUUUGGAUGUGGGGGUUUUGCUGGCCUCUUAAAUGGGUUCAGCUCCCCUGAAAUGCAUUAGCAGAACAAACCUGUUCAUUGGCGUGAUAACUAUCUACGCUAUUGAAUGUGAGGGACAGUUCAGCUUUCUAACAGUCCUUGGACAAUUUAUCAUUUAUG
Molecule: ribosomal RNA, 487 nt
Filed under: uncultured Cortinarius
Lineage: Eukaryota; Fungi; Basidiomycota; Agaricomycetes; Agaricales; Cortinariaceae
Description: eukaryotic LSU rRNA
Rfam family: 5.8S ribosomal RNA (bases 142-295)
Source: RNAcentral